UUAUUUUCCAAGGUACACUCAAUUGUUGUUUGAAGGUGGAUUAUCACCAGACAUCCUUUGAAUGGUACGCCCACUAUCAGCAGCCUUACAGUGUGCUUCAUAAAUACAUCAACCCCUGAAAUAACAUUAUCGUUGGAAAUUGUGUUUUUGUUCUCCACUUUUAUUAUCCACAUGGAAUUUUCACACUACUUCAUUACCUUCAUGAAAAACCAGGUGUGAUAUUUUAUCGUUCUGGAAAAAGGAUUAGAAUACUUUUAUUUUUUCCAGAAUUUCCAAAACUGGGAAUUGUCCAAAGAUUUGUUAAAGCUGAUAAAUGUCAACAGGCACGCUCUGAGUAGAAAGGAAACGCGGUUUGCCUUACAAUUUUAUCAUCCUGGAAAAAGGAUUCUGGAAAUUGAUGAGUUCUAAUAUACAGCUGGUUUUCAGAAUGAGCUUCCGAUUUGAAGUUGUGAGUGUUUUAUCGAAUUAUGGAUUCCUACUUUGAAAACAAAAUUAUUUGCUUCUACAAAUGGUUUUUGAAAUCUUCGCGAAGCCUUUAACUAACGUUAUACUAAAAAAUUCUCAUGGGAGGAAGUUCUUUCAGGAUCUGUUAUCGACCAUCUAUGUUAUGCAGUAAUUGGAUCUGCAGUUUAGUUAGAAACUUUAACUUAGAAAUGUGCUCAGCAUAGAAUUUAUAUAAAAAAAGAUAUUUAAUUGGAAAAAGUUCCUGGUUGAGACGAGAUAAAAAAAAUUGUACUGUUUAGAAGGACGACCUGCAAUUUCAAGAUUCAUUUAUUUCCUUCCACAUUAUAGUAUUUCUAUAUUUAAAAAAAAAUUAAUUGCAUAUCUGGGCUCCCUUCUUUUCUGUGGCCCCGUUUCCCCUUGACUCUGUAAUAAGCCCGUUGGGGGUCAUGGCCCCUACUGUGAUCAGCAGUAAAGGUUGUGAGUGCGCUGUCCGGAAAGGGGACGUGGGGGUCCUCAAGUUCUAUGAUAUCAUUGGAGGGCGAAGAGGCUACCCACAAAUCCGAAUUAACGGUUAAUCGCUCACGUAAAAACUUGUCCGAAUCCUUCUAUCCUCUUCCGGCUUCUCUUAGCCACGCACCGGGUAAUCUCCCCGGUGGUUCAAUUCAGUGAAAUUUGUUGUACAUGUAUACUGUAUCAAGAAUAAAAAUAU
RNAcentral lists this long non-coding RNA (1153 nucleotides) under Daphnia magna. Its description in RNAcentral is "uncharacterized LOC116934696, transcript variant X1". The record is from RNAcentral. Lineage: Eukaryota; Metazoa; Arthropoda; Branchiopoda; Diplostraca; Daphniidae.